UUAGAUACCCUGGUAGUCCGCACCGUAAACGAUGAAUACUCGUGUCCCGCGAUAUAUUGUGGGACACUUAGCGAAAGCGUUAAGUAUUCCACCUGGGGAGUACGCCGGCAACGGUGAAACUCAAAGGAAUUGACGGGGGCCCGCACAAGCGGAGGAACAUGUGGUUUAAUUCGAUGAUACGCGAGGAACCUUACCCGGGCUUGAAAUGUGCAGGACUCAGGCAGAGACGCCUGUUUCUUCGGACCUGCAUGUAGGUGCUGCAUGGUUGUCGUCAGCUCGUGCCGUGAGGUGUCGGCUUAAGUGCCAUAACGAGCGCAACCCUUCUCCCCGUUUGCCAUCAGUUAAUGCUGGGCACUCCGGGGACACUGCCAUCGUAAGAUGUGAGGAAGGUGGGGAUGACGUCAAAUCAGCACGGCCCUUACGUCCGGGGCUACACACGUGUUACAAUGGGGGGUACAGAGGGCCGCUAUCCCGCGAGGGUGCGCCAAUCCUCAAAACCUCUCUCAGUUCGGACUGGAGUCUGCAACCCGACUCCACGAAGCUGGAUUCGCUAGUAAUCGCGCAUCAGCCAUGGCGCGGUGAAUACGUUCCCGGGCCUUGUACACACCGCCCGUCAAGCCAUGAAGCCCGGGGGUGCCCUGAAGCCCGUACCGCGAAGGUCGGCCUAAGGCAAUACCGGUGAUUGGGGCUAAGUCGUAACAAGUAAACCA
Molecule: ribosomal RNA, 710 nt
Filed under: uncultured bacterium
Lineage: Bacteria
Description: bacterial SSU rRNA
Rfam family: Bacterial small subunit ribosomal RNA
Source: RNAcentral